CUGAUGCAGCGACGCCGCGUGAGGGAUGACGGCCUUCGGGUUGUAAACCUCUUUCAGCAGGGAAGAAGCGAAAGUGACGGUACCUGCAGAAGAAGCGCCGGCUAACUACGUGCCAGCAGCCGCGGUAAUACGUAGGGCGCAAGCGUUGUCCGGAAUUAUUGGGCGUAAAGAGCUCGUAGGCGGUUUGUCGCGUCUGCUGUGAAAGCCCGGGGCUCAACCCCGGGUCUGCAGUGGGUACGGGCAGACUAGAGUGCAGUAGGGGAGACUGGAAUUCCUGGUGUAGCGGUGAAAUGCGCAGAUAUCAGGAGGAACACCGAUGGCGAAGGCAGGUCUCUGGGCUGUAACUGACGCUGAGGAGCGAAAGCAUGGGGAGCGAACAGGAUUAGAUACCCUGGUAGUCCAUGCCGUAAACGUUGGGCACUAGGUGUGGGGGACAUUCCACGUUUUCCGCGCCGUAGCUAACGCAUUAAGUGCCCCGCCUGG
RNAcentral lists this ribosomal RNA (483 nucleotides) under Crystallibacter crystallopoietes. RNAcentral describes it as "bacterial SSU rRNA". It matches the Rfam family "Bacterial small subunit ribosomal RNA", at positions 383 to 876 of the family's 1533-position model. Lineage: Bacteria; Bacillati; Actinomycetota; Actinomycetes; Micrococcales; Micrococcaceae. The record is from RNAcentral.